GUUAUUCAUCACUAACCUUAUAAUCAACCAAAACUAGAUGAGAAUUUGUGGAAUCUCUUUGGAUAGGUGGAUGAGAAUUCUAAAAAUGGAAUAAAGAAUCCAGUUGGCCAACUAUGGAGAAAGAUCACUAUAGAGACAGAAGAUGUGGGCUUAAUUUCCAGCUCCGUCAACCACUACUUAUAUGUUAUUGGGCAAAUCAUUCAACCUCUGGGCCAUAGUUUUCUCAACUAUAAAAAAGAGGGUUGGGCCAGGUGAUCAAUAAGAGAGAUGCCUUCCAGCUCUAUAUCCCCUGACUGCUAAUGAGACUUUCCAAUUCACAUCUCGUCCAACACAGGCAUGUUUGAGUUACUAAACCUUACAAAGUUGAGACAGACAUGGAAGAAGAUUCACAGAAGAAUGAGAGACAUGAUUCAAGAUAUGGAAGAUACAUUUUAAAAGGCAAAGAUCUGGAGAAGAGAAGAUACUUUCCUCAGAACAUUUGGAAGAAAAAGAAAUCUCUUCAAGUGAAUCAAGUAUGGUGUAAAAUCAUUAUGGCAAAUUUUCCUCACAUUCCAAAGUGAUGAAAACAAAAAAUUAAAAAAAAAGAUUAUCAGCAGAAUUCC
Sarcophilus harrisii (Tasmanian devil) is the source of this 602-nucleotide long non-coding RNA. RefSeq lists it as uncharacterized. Lineage: Eukaryota; Metazoa; Chordata; Mammalia; Dasyuromorphia; Dasyuridae. The transcript has 3 exons. The record is from RefSeq and is a predicted model, not a curated record.